This 2618-nucleotide ribosomal RNA is filed under the name Salmonella enterica subsp. enterica serovar Agona. RNAcentral's name for it is "partial 23S ribosomal RNA". It matches the Rfam family "Bacterial large subunit ribosomal RNA". Lineage: Bacteria; Pseudomonadati; Pseudomonadota; Gammaproteobacteria; Enterobacterales; Enterobacteriaceae. The record is from RNAcentral.
AAUCCAUAGGUUAAUGAGGCGAACCGGGGGAACUGAAACAUCUAAGUACCCCGAGGAAAAGAAAUCAACCGAGAUUCCCCCAGUAGCGGCGAGCGAACGGGGAGGAGCCCAGAGCCUGAAUCAGCAUGUGUGUUAGUGGAAGCGUCUGGAAAGGCGCGCGAUACAGGGUGACAGCCCCGUACACAAAAGCGCAUGUGCUGUGAGCUCGAUGAGUAGGGCGGGACACGUGGUAUCCUGUCUGAAUAUGGGGGGACCAUCCUCCAAGGCUAAAUACUCCUGACUGACCGAUAGUGAACCAGUACCGUGAGGGAAAGGCGAAAAGAACCCCGGCGAGGGGAGUGAAAAAGAACCUGAAACCGUGUACGUACAAGCAGUGGGAGCACCCUUUGGGGUGUGACUGCGUACCUUUUGUAUAAUGGGUCAGCGACUUAUAUUCUGUAGCAAGGUUAACCGAAUAGGGGAGCCGGAGGGAAACCGAGUCUUAAUUGGGCGUUAAGUUGCAGGGUAUAGACCCGAAACCCGGUGAUCUAGCCAUGGGCAGGUUGAAGGUUGGGUAACACUAACUGGAGGACCGAACCGACUAAUGUUGAAAAAUUAGCGGAUGACCUGUGGCUGGGGGUGAAAGGCCAAUCAAACCGGGAGAUAGCUGGUUCUCCCCGAAAGCUAUUUAGGUAGCGCCUCGUGAAUUCAUCUCCGGGGGUAGAGCACUGUUUCGGCUAGGGGGCCAUCCCGGCUUACCAACCCGAUGCAAACUGCGAAUACCGGAGAAUGUUAUCACGGGAGACACACGGCGGGUGCUAACGUCCGUCGUGAAGAGGGAAACAACCCAGACCGCCAGCUAAGGUCCCAAAGUCAUGGUUAAGUGGGAAACGAUGUGGGAAGGCCCAGACAGCCAGGAUGUUGGCUUAGAAGCAGCCAUCAUUUAAAGAAAGCGUAAUAGCUCACUGGUCGAGUCGGCCUGCGCGGAAGAUGUAACGGGGCUAAACCAUGCACCGAAGCUGCGGCAGCGACACUGUGUGUUGUUGGGUAGGGGAGCGUUCUGUAAGCCUGUGAAGGUGGCCUGUGAGGGUUGCUGGAGGUAUCAGAAGUGCGAAUGCUGACAUAAGUAACGAUAAAGCGGGUGAAAAGCCCGCUCGCCGGAAGACCAAGGGUUCCUGUCCAACGUUAAUCGGGGCAGGGUGAGUCGACCCCUAAGGCGAGGCCGAAAGGCGUAGUCGAUGGGAAACGGGUUAAUAUUCCCGUACUUGGUGUUACUGCGAAGGGGGGACGGAGAAGGCUAUGUUGGCCGGGCGACGGUUGUCCCGGUUUAAGCGUGUAGGUGUGUGUUCCAGGUAAAUCCGGUUCACUUUAACACUGAGGCGUGAUGACGAGGCACUACGGUGCUGAAGCAACAAAUGCCCUGCUUCCAGGAAAAGCCUCUAAGCAUCAGGUAACAUCAAAUCGUACCCCAAACCGACACAGGUGGUCAGGUAGAGAAUACCAAGGCGCUUGAGAGAACUCGGGUGAAGGAACUAGGCAAAAUGGUGCCGUAACUUCGGGAGAAGGCACGCUGACACGUAGGUGAAGUGAUUUACUCAUGGAGCUGAAGUCAGUCGAAGAUACCAGCUGGCUGCAACUGUUUAUUAAAAACACAGCACUGUGCAAACACGAAAGUGGACGUAUACGGUGUGACGCCUGCCCGGUGCCGGAAGGUUAAUUGAUGGGGUCAGCGCAAGCGAAGCUCCUGAUCGAAGCCCCGGUAAACGGCGGCCGUAACUAUAACGGUCCUAAGGUAGCGAAAUUCCUUGUCGGGUAAGUUCCGACCUGCACGAAUGGCGUAAUGAUGGCCAGGCUGUCUCCACCCGAGACUCAGUGAAAUUGAACUCGCUGUGAAGAUGCAGUGUACCCGCGGCAAGACGGAAAGACCCCGUGAACCUUUACUAUAGCUUGACACUGAACAUUGAGCCUUGAUGUGUAGGAUAGGUGGGAGGCUUUGAAGUGUGGACGCCAGUCUGCAUGGAGCCGACCUUGAAAUACCACCCUUUAAUGUUUGAUGUUCUAACGUGGACCCGUAAUCCGGGUUGCGGACAGUGUCUGGUGGGUAGUUUGACUGGGGCGGUCUCCUCCUAAAGAGUAACGGAGGAGCACGAAGGUUGGCUAAUCCUGGUCGGACAUCAGGAGGUUAGUGCAAUGGCAUAAGCCAGCUUGACUGCGAGCGUGACGGCGCGAGCAGGUGCGAAAGCAGGUCAUAGUGAUCCGGUGGUUCUGAAUGGAAGGGCCAUCGCUCAACGGAUAAAAGGUACUCCGGGGAUAACAGGCUGAUACCGCCCAAGAGUUCAUAUCGACGGCGGUGUUUGGCACCUCGAUGUCGGCUCAUCACAUCCUGGGGCUGAAGUAGGUCCCAAGGGUAUGGCUGUUCGCCAUUUAAAGUGGUACGCGAGCUGGGUUUAGAACGUCGUGAGACAGUUCGGUCCCUAUCUGCCGUGGGCGCUGGAGAACUGAGGGGGGCUGCUCCUAGUACGAGAGGACCGGAGUGGACGCAUCACUGGUGUUCGGGUUGUCAUGCCAAUGGCACUGCCCGGUAGCUAAAUGCGGAAGAGAUAAGUGCUGAAAGCAUCUAAGCACGAAACUUGCCCCGA